Molecule: long non-coding RNA, 125 nt
Organism: Amblyraja radiata (thorny skate)
Lineage: Eukaryota; Metazoa; Chordata; Chondrichthyes; Rajiformes; Rajidae
Exons: 3
Source: RefSeq, a predicted model, not a curated record
AAGAGCUAGUAAAGAAAAUAAAUAAGUAGGAAAGUGAAGCAGGAGGGAGAUCACCCACUCGCCACAAGGAGAUGCUUUUUUAUAUUCUUGAUCAUCUUCCACCCAUACCUGAAAAUUUUUUUUUU